Molecule: long non-coding RNA, 365 nt
Filed under: Volvox carteri
Lineage: Eukaryota; Viridiplantae; Chlorophyta; Chlorophyceae; Chlamydomonadales; Volvocaceae
Description: long non-coding RNA (VCAR_LNC000757)
Source: RNAcentral
AAGCGUUUCUGUUUGUUACUUUUUGCAAAUCAUCGUAGCGCUACUGAGCGUGCUGACUUUGAACUUCACGGCCUACUCGUGAGGCUGUCCUUCGUCGGUACGUCCUUCCCUUCUCAAUCCCUGCUUUGUUUAUAACCCCGGUGGGGCAGUGGUGAGCUUAGCGUUUAGCAGAAAACUAGACAGGUGCAUCGUUAUGUGAACAACGCAAGCGACGCAUCGCAUGGAGCGCCCAAACAGUAUUGAUCAUGACGUUCAUGACAUGCAACCAGAAGAGUUAUGUACCGGUCCCCAUGCACUUGAGGGUCAUAGAACGGGGACCCCAAAACGAACGGCGCAAGGCCUCACACGGGGAACGUAAACCCUCC